AGUGAACGCUGGCGGUAGGCCUAACACAUGCAAGUCGAACGGCAGCACAGGAGAGCUUGCUCUCUGGGUGGCGAGUGGCGGACGGGUGAGGAAUACAUCGGAAUCUACUCUGUCGUGGGGGAUAACGUAGGGAAACUUACGCUAAUACCGCAUACGACCUACGGGUGAAAGCAGGGGAUCUUCGGACCUCGCGCGAUUGAAUGAGCCGAUGUCGGAUUAGCUAGUUGGCGGGGUAAAGGCCCACCAAGGCGACGAUCCGUAGCUGGUCUGAGGGGAUGAUCAGCCACACUGGAACUGAGACACGGUCCAGACUCCUACGGGAGGCAGCAGUGGGGAAUAUUGGACAAUGGGCGCAAGCCUGAUCCAGCCAUACCGCGUGGGUGAAGAAGGCCUUCGGGUUGUAAAGCCCUUUUGUUGGGAAAGAAAUCCAGCUGGUUAAUACCCGGUUGGGAUGACGGUACCCAAAGAAUAAGCACCGGCUAACUUCGUGCCAGCCGCCGCCGUAA
This 506-nucleotide ribosomal RNA is filed under the name uncultured bacterium. Its description in RNAcentral is "partial 16S ribosomal RNA". It matches the Rfam family "Bacterial small subunit ribosomal RNA", at positions 29 to 523 of the family's 1533-position model. The record is from RNAcentral.